CCUACGGGUGGCAGCAGUCGAGAAUCAUUCACAAUGGGGGAAACCCUGAUGGUGCGACGCCGCGUGGGGGAAUGAAGGUCUUCGGAUUGUAAACCCCUGUCAUGUGGGAGCAAAUUAAAAAGAUAGUACCACAAGAGGAAGAGACGGCUAACUCUGUGCCAGCAGCCGCGGUAAUACAGAGGUCUUAAGCGUUGUUCGGGAUCACUGGGCGUAAAGCGUGCGUAGGCUGUUUCGUAAGUCGUGUGUGAAAGGCGCGGGCUCAACCCGCGGACGGCACAUGAUACUGCGAGACUAGAGUGAUGGAGGGGGAACCGGAAUUCUCGGUGUAGCAGUGAAAUGCGUAGAUAUCGAGAGGAACACUCGUGGCGAAGGCGGGUUCCUGGACAUUAACUGACGCUGAGGCACGAAGGCCAGGGGAGCGAAAGGGAUUAGAUACCCGUGUAGUC
RNAcentral lists this ribosomal RNA (446 nucleotides) under uncultured bacterium. RNAcentral's name for it is "partial 16S ribosomal RNA". It matches the Rfam family "Bacterial small subunit ribosomal RNA", at positions 338 to 795 of the family's 1533-position model. The record is from RNAcentral.